RNAcentral lists this long non-coding RNA (1155 nucleotides) under Linum usitatissimum (flax). RNAcentral describes it as "long non-coding RNA (LUSI_LNC004118)". The record is from RNAcentral. Lineage: Eukaryota; Viridiplantae; Streptophyta; Magnoliopsida; Malpighiales; Linaceae.
UUUGAUCUUGAACUUGAGUUGUGUUUUACGGUAUAUAGAGCAAGAUAAAAAUCAUAUAAUUCAAUUUUUUUUGUUCCAGUGAUGUUAGUAAAGAUGAAAAUAAAGGAUUCAAUUUAGUUUUUUGAAAAUCUAGAUUAAAACAAUAUAAAUCUGAAGUAAAACAAAACAUAUAUAAUGAUGUUUUUCAUCUUUCUACGGAUCUAAUUCUAAAGCAAAAAAAAUGAAAAAUGAGAAUUCAAACUCAUAAAGCUCCUCUUUUUUUGUCUUCUUCUUCUUCAUCUUUUUCUUCUCUAUUUAUCUUUUUCUUCUUCUUCUUUAGAACAACCUUCUUCAUAUUUUCAUCUUCUUUGUCUUUGAACCAACUAUUAUUCUCAUUUUUUUUUCUUUAUCAAAACAACCAUCAUCAUCUUUUUUUGGAGUACUGAUGUCACUCCAUAUUGUAGUGAUAAUCGCACUUGCUGUGACUACCUUUUGGCUCGUUUCCACAAUUUUUGACCGAUUUUGGGUACCUUGUUGUGAUUGGAUGGAAUUUUGUGCUUGCAUUCUGUUAAGUGGACCAUUACGUUCUAUUUAACUUGUUUUCUGGAGUGUUUCUAAGAUUUCAGGUAUCCGAUCGAUAGAGGGUGUGAUUAUGAAUCCAACGGUACAAACUUGAGAUUAAUUCGAGGUCAGACGAGCGAGUUACAAGCAAAAUAUGAUUUUGGGACCGGUUUGAAAGUUGACCAAACCGAAUAGAAUUUUUAUAUAUAAGUCCAAAAUUAAGGAGAGAGAGAGGGGAGAUCCCUCAUUUCAUAUUUCACCACUCUUUUGGGUGAAAUUUCUUCCCUCUUUCUAAAAAUCCUAAAAAACACAACUGAGGAUUAAAUUGAAGGUGAAAGAAGUUAGAAGCAUUGGAUUGAAAAAUAGAAGAUCGAAGAGAAGGCUGAAGCAAGUACAUCUUGAUGCGACAAUUUGGUUUUGGAUUGUUUUAACUUUCUCUUAUUUUCUUUUCUCUUUAGAUGAUCAUGUGUAGCCUAGUUCUUUGUUGUUAUUUAGAUUGGAUGUAUGUUCUUGUUAUGAUUAUUACCUAGAAGUAAAGGGUUGGCCAUGUGGAUGUCAUGAAUGAAUGAAUGAUGUGUUUGGAUUAUGAUGGUUUCAACCUAAUUUAUGCUAUAA